RNAcentral lists this ribosomal RNA (481 nucleotides) under uncultured bacterium. Its description in RNAcentral is "partial 16S ribosomal RNA". It matches the Rfam family "Bacterial small subunit ribosomal RNA", at positions 28 to 507 of the family's 1533-position model. The record is from RNAcentral.
GAUGAACGCUGGCGGCGUGCUUAACACAUGCAAGUCGAACGAAGCACUUUAUUUGAUUUCCUUCGGGACUGAUUAUUUUGUGACUGAGUGGCGUACGGGUGAGUAACGCGUGUGUAACCUGCCUUGUACAGGGGGAUAACAGUUGGAAACGGCUGCUAAUACCGCAUAAGCGCACAGCAUCGCAUGAUGCAGUGUGAAAAACUCCGGUGGUAUAAGAUGGACCCGCGUUGGAUUAGCUAGUUGGUGAGGUAACGGCCCACGAAGGCGACGAUCCAUAGCCGACCAGAGAGGGGGACCGGCAACAUUGGGACUGAGACACGGCGCAAACUCGUAGGAGAGGGAGCAGUGGGGAAUAGUGCAAAAUGGGGGAAAGGCUGAUGCAGCGAAGCCGCGUGAGCGAAGAAGUAUUUCGGUAUGUAAAGCACUAGCAGCAGGGAAGAUAAUGACGGUACCUGACAAAGAAGCACCGGCUAAAUACGUG